GUGAGGAAUAUUGGUCAAUGGGCGGGAGCCUGAACCAGCCAAGUCGCGUGAGGGAAGACGGCCCUACGGGUUGUAAACCUCUUUUGUCGGGGAGCAAAGAGCGCCACGCGUGGCGAGAUGAGAGUACCCGAAGAAAAAGCAUCGGCUAACUCCGUGCCAGCAGCCGCGGUAAUACGGAGGAUGCGAGCGUUAUCCGGAUUUAUUGGGUUUAAAGGGUGCGUAGGCGGGACAGUAAGUCAGCGGUAAAAUAGCGGGGCUCAACCCCGUCGAGCCGUUGAAACUGCAGUUCUUGAGUGGGCGAGAAGUAUGCGGAAUGCGUGGUGUAGCGGUGAAAUGCAUAGAUAUCACGCAGAACUCCGAUUGCGAAGGCAGCAUACCGGCGCCCGACUGACGCUGAAGCACGAAAGCGUGGGUAUCGAACAGG
RNAcentral lists this ribosomal RNA (424 nucleotides) under uncultured bacterium. Its description in RNAcentral is "bacterial SSU rRNA". It matches the Rfam family "Bacterial small subunit ribosomal RNA", at positions 354 to 776 of the family's 1533-position model. The record is from RNAcentral.